This 73-nucleotide transfer RNA is filed under the name Cimex lectularius (bed bug). Its description in RNAcentral is "tRNA-Tyr". It matches the Rfam family "tRNA". Rfam says of the family: Transfer RNA (tRNA) molecules are approximately 80 nucleotides in length. Their secondary structure includes four short double-helical elements and three loops (D, anti-codon, and T loops). The record is from RNAcentral. Lineage: Eukaryota; Metazoa; Arthropoda; Insecta; Hemiptera; Cimicidae.
CCUCUGGUAGCUCAGUUGGUAGAGCGGUGGACUGUAGAUCCAUAGUUCGCUGGUUCAAAUCCGGCCCGGAGGA